AAGUCGUAACAAGGUUUCCGUAGGUGAACCUGCGGAAGGAUCAUUGCAAAUCAAAGAUUGGGAAUGGUAUGGUUGGAUUUUAGGAAGCGAGGUGAUUUUGAGAGAUUCUAGAUAUCGAAAGAUUGAAGGAUAAUCUUGAAACAUUUUGUUUACUAUUUGCUUCCAUUUCAUUUCCACAUACGCACAGCGUGCUGGGAUCGAGGGAAAGGUUAAUUUUGUUGAUUGAAUAACAUUUAGUUGACUGGUUCUCCUUUCUUUUGUCUCUGCCGCUGAUGUUUACGCUUGUUUGUUUGACAAAUCUAUUACAUUUAAAGUAUACAAAACUUUUAACAACGGAUCUCUUGGCUCUU
RNAcentral lists this unclassified non-coding RNA (350 nucleotides) under fungal sp. RNAcentral's name for it is "partial internal transcribed spacer region". The stretch from base 1 to 46 matches the Rfam family "Eukaryotic small subunit ribosomal RNA", at positions 1786 to 1831 of the family's 1831-position model. The record is from RNAcentral. Lineage: Eukaryota; Fungi.